AUCUUACCUUCAUCCUUUGCUUUUGUAAGGAAACACAACAUGCUUUUACAGAAUUCAGAGGAUGGAAGCUAAAACUUCUGGAUUUGAAAAAUGUUACUGUAGUCCUCCUCUGACAUUAUGACCUGGAUGCCUGCUGGCCCUGCUCUGCAAGGCUGAGGCUGCCUUCCACCUUUGACAUUUUGCCAUGAUCUUUCCUCUUUGAAGGGAGAGCUGAAAGUGGGGAAUCCCUCACAGUGAUCUGUCAUCUGAAUUCUCAUUUAAAUGCAUUUUACUGUGCUCAGAAUGCUAAUUCCCACUGGACUCAACCCGCUUGGGUAUGUACAAACUCAGUUUCUUUCAAGGGGUGCAUCAA
Molecule: non-coding RNA, 352 nt
Organism: Sturnus vulgaris (Common starling)
Lineage: Eukaryota; Metazoa; Chordata; Aves; Passeriformes; Sturnidae
Source: RefSeq, a predicted model, not a curated record